Molecule: long non-coding RNA, 309 nt
Organism: Phlebotomus papatasi
Lineage: Eukaryota; Metazoa; Arthropoda; Insecta; Diptera; Psychodidae
Exons: 2
Source: RefSeq, a predicted model, not a curated record
CUAAUGCCUUAUGGGAAUUUUACAUUGGGUGACCCUCAGAGUUAGCUAACUAUGUUCGCGGUUUGUCACGUAUUUGAACAGUCAUGGCGGAUUAUUUAUGACGCACGAGUGUUGUGCGCAUAAAAAGUGCAUUUACAGCGAUUUUAUUAGCAUCUGCAGCUAGAUUUUACAAGGAAUUUAUUAAGAAAUAAUCCAGCUGAGCAGGCCGGAACGGACUGGACAGCUUAUGUGGUGCUCUCCAGCUGGGGAAAGAUGUAGAAAUUGUAUUUCUUUUGUAAAAGAAUUGUAAAUAAAUAUAAAUUAAACCAA